UCCUUGCACUCACUCGUCCCUUUCACUUCUCGCGGCGUGGCUAUAAGACGUUCCGAUCCCAGUCGCUCGGAGCGGGUCCCGGGCCUCUGCAUCGUUUCCGUUUAAAAUCGCUGAGGCAGGUACGGGCCCAGCCUUUUUGUCUCUGGCCCUUGCAGACCCCGAUCGCCCGGACAGUCGCUUUCCUGCUCAGAACCUUUCUCUGACUCCCGAGUCUCCCCACUGCCGUCCACCCCCAACCGCGUCGUGCACAGUCGUCACUAGGGAGGUGGAUGCAGGCCCUUCGCCCCGCCGCAGGGAGGUCAGAGUGGGGACAGAGAUGCCAGGGAAAGACGCAGAAAUCUGCAGAGUUAGAAGGCCAUCAUAAAGUGUGGGGAGAAAGAACGGCGGGGAUUGAAACAGAGGCCGUAAUAGAGUGGGGUCAGACUGUUGGAGGAGGAAUAGUGAGGCAGGGACACAGAAAUGGACAAAAGGACAGAAGAGAAACAAGGACACAGAGACUUAUACAGAGAAGAAAACACGUAGUGGUCUCAGACAAAGCACAGGACCCAAACCCAGUAUAACCUUACCUGAGAAGGAAGACCAGAAGAAGAAGGGGAAAAAAAAGGAGGAAUGGCUCUUUUCCAGGGGCGGUUGACAUUCAGGGAUGUGGCCAUAGAAUUCUCUCAGGAGGAGUGGGAGUGCCUGGACCCCGCUCAGAGGGCCUUGUACAGGGACGUGAUGCUGGAGAACUACAGGAACCUGGUCUCCCUGGGUGAAGAUAACUUCCCUCCAGAAGUCGGUAAUUACUUUUUAUGUGUUUGCAUUUCCUUUUGACAGUCCCUGACUUGAUCAUAGGAGUUUCAAAUCCCUGUUCUUUAGGGAGUGAUUGCAACCGUUUUGAUGGAGAAUGGAAAGGCAUCAUAAUGUGGCAAAUGGCCUCUUAACUUCCCUUUCCUUCAGAAGUUCUGCACUCCUGCUUGUUUAGGUGGUUGCAGAACAUUAGUCAGAAAACCUUAUGGGAGGGAAGUGGUGAUGACGAGCA
This is a long non-coding RNA of Herpailurus yagouaroundi (jaguarundi), 1021 nucleotides long. RefSeq lists it as uncharacterized. The record is from RefSeq and is a predicted model, not a curated record. Lineage: Eukaryota; Metazoa; Chordata; Mammalia; Carnivora; Felidae. The transcript has 3 exons.